GAGGGUGUAGCGCAGCUGGUUAGCGCGACGGCCUGUCACGCCGUAGGUCGCGGGUUCGAUCCCCGUCACUCUCG
Molecule: transfer RNA, 74 nt
Filed under: Parasphaerochaeta coccoides DSM 17374
Lineage: Bacteria; Pseudomonadati; Spirochaetota; Spirochaetia; Spirochaetales; Sphaerochaetaceae
Description: tRNA-Asp (GTC) (tRNA-Asp-GTC-1-1)
Rfam family: tRNA
About the family: Transfer RNA (tRNA) molecules are approximately 80 nucleotides in length.
Source: Rfam by way of RNAcentral